CCAAAGAAAGAAUUCCAGAAAUCUGCUGCUGCCAAAUGGCAGCUUGAAAAAUAAGAUGAUCAUUGGACUCAUCAGUUUGUUGCAUCUACAUGAGAUAAUUAUUUGUAUUAACCAAUUAUCCACCUUGAAGCAUUUGUGCAAGAUGACCUCACAAGGCUAAACUAUUCAGCCUGUGGUAAAUGCAUCUUCUAGAAUUGGAC
This 200-nucleotide long non-coding RNA is filed under the name Vitis vinifera (wine grape). Its description in RNAcentral is "long non-coding RNA (VVIN_LNC007357)". Lineage: Eukaryota; Viridiplantae; Streptophyta; Magnoliopsida; Vitales; Vitaceae. The record is from RNAcentral.